RNAcentral lists this ribosomal RNA (776 nucleotides) under uncultured cyanobacterium. RNAcentral describes it as "bacterial SSU rRNA". It matches the Rfam family "Bacterial small subunit ribosomal RNA", at positions 36 to 836 of the family's 1533-position model. Lineage: Bacteria; Bacillati; Cyanobacteriota. The record is from RNAcentral.
CUGGCGGAAUGCUUAAUACAUGCAAGUCGAACGAAGAGGCUCUUUCGGGGGUACUUCAGUGGCGGACGGGUGAGUAACGCGUUGGUAAUCUACCUUACACUGGGGGAUAACAUCUGGAAACGGGUGCUAAUACCGCAUAUGUGUGUUGUUGGGAUACAUCACAUGAAAGAAUUUCGGUGUAAGAUGAGCCUGCGUAUGAUUAGCUAGAUGGUGGGGUAACGGCCUACCAUGGCGAUGAUCAUUAGUUGGUCUGAGAGGAUGGCCAGCCACAGUGGGACUGAGACACGGCCCACACUCCUACGGGAGGCAGCAGUAGGGAAUAUUGCGCAAUGGACGAAAGUCUGACGCAGCAAUUCCGCGUGAAGGAUGAAGCCUUUAGGGGUGUAAACUUCUGUCAAUAGGGAAGAACUAGACGGUACCUAUAGAGGAAGCACCGGCUAACUACGUGCCAGCAGCCGCGGUAAUACGUAGGGUGCGAGCGUUGUCCGGAAUUAUUGGGCGUAAAGCGUCCGUAGGCGGUUAAUUAAGUCUAAUGUAAAAGGCAUCUGCUCAACAGAUGUUGUGUAUUGGAAACUAGUUGACUAGAGUAUGGUAGAGGUUGCUGGAAUUCCAGGAGUAGCGGUGAAAUGCGUAGAUAUCUGGAGGAACACCGGUGGCGAAAGCGGGCAACUGGACCAUAACUGACGCUAAUGGACGAAAGCUAGGGUAGCGAAAGGGAUUAGAUACCCCUGUAGUCCUAGCCGUAACGAUGAACACUAGGUGUUGGGUGAAUCGAC